Long non-coding RNA from Cucumis sativus (cucumber), 1594 nucleotides. RefSeq lists it as uncharacterized. Lineage: Eukaryota; Viridiplantae; Streptophyta; Magnoliopsida; Cucurbitales; Cucurbitaceae. The record is from RefSeq and is a predicted model, not a curated record. The transcript is spliced from 6 exons.
UUGCUUAGCUUCUCUUUAUUCUCUCGAGUUGCUAUAUUUGUUUAAAUUUAGCUUCAGGAUGAGUGUGGCAGUCAGUGGUUUAUACUCUAUAUAGCUUUGUGUUUCUGAUUGUAGAGUUUUGGCUUCCAUUCAGCUUAGUUGUUGGUCCAGCUUUGUUUGUUGUACAUGUUGUUCACUGUGACUCAGUCUUUAAACUGUAGUUCAAGAAGAAACAAUUGUAACAAAAUUGUUAUGGUGUUCCAAGCAUUGAACUUGGAUUCUCUAACCCCUUGAGCAAGAGUUGUAUUAUCCUUCUCUUUCAAACCAUUAUUGUGAUUACCCUACGUCUAUUAACUAUUAGAACCCUUUUCUUUAAUAGCUAAUUUUGGAUUUCUUUUGUAAGGUGCCUUCUUUUUAUGGUAUUCUUUAAGCUGGCCGUUUCUAUACUGAAAUAGUGUAUUUUGUUUUAAAAGAAAAAACAUCUAUAUUUUGAGUCUCUUAUCAAGAUUGUUCAGAAACAAAUGGUUGUGCUUUCCAGUUUUCUCUUCCUCUUUCAAGUAUCUUGUUGUUUCAGCUUUCUUCCUAAAUUGUUCUUUGCUUGGAUGAGUUGAAUGUUAAAGUCUGGGUUGCUUACGUUGAAUUAACUGUAAGUAGUAUUUCUGGCAGAUGUGACUCAUGUUCAUACUUCAUACACCUUGGUGAAAGACAUUUUAAGGAAUGUUUCUAAUUCUAGUUUGUUGAACUUUCAUGUGGUGCACAAGAUGUGUCCAAUUUAGUCAAAUAAUACGUGGUGGGCUACCUUUAAAGCCAGUUACAACUACAAGGUGGCACCUACUUCUUUGAUGCCUAUUCUUCUAAGAAAGAUGAUGCAAAUGAGGAAACGUAGAACAGAGAGGGGUUUAACAUCUACCCACUGCUCUCCCAGAAUGGUUGGUCGAUCUUUGGGCAUACACACAUCAAUGACUUAGUGUACAUAUAACAAAGUUGCUUUUGAGUGGUUGAUGAAAUGAGUGUACAUGAUAGAUGAGCUUCCACCUGGAAUUCUGGCCAACUACUUAUUUGCACUCAUCCUCCAUAAUUUGGCGGGAUUCUUUCUAGCUGCAUUCUCAAGGAAUCACCUUUCAUAGUUCAUAUCUAUUAUCUGGCUGGCUGCAUUCAAGCAUUCACCCUUCGUAUCUAUUAUCUGGUGCGCUUCCACAGGUGAGGGGUUGUGACUGACCACUUCAAGCAUUCAUCCUUCAUUGGUUGGUGGAGGGUCAAAUUUACAAUUUUGAAAGAAGUAUUUGUGUUGUUCACUCACCGGAGGUUGAAUGGACUAAUUAUUUGGAAUCUAUUGGUACACACUUUGUCUGUGUCUGUCAUUGUUCUCUACAACUACGAAUUUAUUGCCUUUUCUCUUCCAACCGUAAGAGGAAAAAAAAUCAUGAAGCUGUAUGAACAAUUGAAUUUUACUUUUCUAAAAGUAAAGAGAGUGAGAGCGAAGAAAAGGACUGAAUUGAGUUAAAAGCUUGAGCAUUACAUAAAAAAUUAUUAGGGGCAUUCCGAGAAUCGAACUCAGGACCUCUCGCACCCGAAGCGAGAAUCAUACCACUAGACCAAAUGCCCUCUUUGAUAA